Molecule: long non-coding RNA, 111 nt
Organism: Haliotis rubra (blacklip abalone)
Lineage: Eukaryota; Metazoa; Mollusca; Gastropoda; Lepetellida; Haliotidae
Exons: 3
Source: RefSeq, a predicted model, not a curated record
UUUUUUGUGCAACACUCGUCUUUAUUUCAAAUUAAUUUCUACAAGCUGUUACAAAGCAUUGGUGGAGGCAAACACCUUAAUACAUUAAAUCUGAGUUAAAUUAUCCUUGAA